GGACUGCAGCCUCAACAUCGUAGCCUGAUCAUGCUACCAUAAAUCAGCAUUGGUGGCAGCAACAAGCCACUACAGAACCAGUUGUAGCUUCAACAGUCCCUGUCCCAAUGUAGCAGCAACAUAAAUAUUUGACCUAAUUCAAUUAAGGAAAAAGAAAAGCAGUAACAGCAUGGUGACUGGUGACUGCAACAACAUAGGGAAGAUGGCCUCCUUCCCCACUUCAGCUCGUGAUUCCGACGGCGGCGAGCUCCACACAUGGCGAUGGCAGAGAGAGCAGCAGCGGCAGAAACCACUCCGCAACGCCUUUUCUCUCUCCUGGCGUUGUUCUGUCUCUCUCUCUCUCUCUUCGCGACACACUCUCUUCGUUACUCCAUCAUCGGCGAUGACGGCGGCGCGACGAGCAGCAGUGACUCGCCGGCGCACUCUCCCCCC
This is a non-coding RNA of Arachis ipaensis, 432 nucleotides long. NCBI's taxonomy places the organism in Eukaryota, Viridiplantae, Streptophyta, Magnoliopsida, Fabales, Fabaceae. The record is from RefSeq and is a predicted model, not a curated record.